Molecule: ribosomal RNA, 930 nt
Filed under: uncultured bacterium
Lineage: Bacteria
Description: bacterial SSU rRNA
Rfam family: Bacterial small subunit ribosomal RNA
Source: RNAcentral
ACGGUAACAGAGAAGAGCUUGCUCUUUUACUGACGAGUGGCGCACGGGUGCGUAACGCGUAUACAAUCUACCUUUUACAGGGGGAUAGCCUUUAGAAAUGAAGAUUAAUAUCCCAUAGUAAGUACUUAUGGCAUCGUAAGAACUUUAAAGUUUCGGCGGUAAAAGAUGAGUAUGCGUUCUAUUAGCUAGAUGGUGUGGUAACGGCACACCAUGGCAACGAUAGAUAGGGGCCCUGAGAGGGGGAUCCCCCACACUGGUACUGAGACACGGACCAGACUCCUACGGGAGGCAGCAGUGAGGAAUAUUGGACAGUGGGCGAGAGCCUGAUCCAGCCAUGCCGCGUGCAGGAAGACUGCCCUAUGGGUUGUAAACUGCUUUUAUACGGGAAGAAACCCACCUACGUGUAGGUGGCUGACGGUACCGUAAGAAUAAGGAUCGGCUAACUCCGUGCCAGCAGCCGCGGUAAUACGGAGGAUCCAAGCGUUAUCCGGAAUCAUUGGGUUUAAAGGGUCCGUAGGUGGAUAAUUAAGUCAGGGGUGAAAGUCUGCAGCUCAACUGUAGAAUUGCCUUUGAUACUGGUUAUCUUGAAUUAUUAUGAAGUAGUUAGAAUAUGUAGUGUAGCGGUGAAAUGCAUAGAUAUUACAUAGAAUACCAAUUGCGAAGGCAGAUUACUAAUAAUCAAUUGACACUGAUGGACGCGUGAGCGAACAGGAUUAGAUACCCUGGUAGUCCACGCCGUAAACGAUGGAUACUAGCUGUUCGGACUUCGGCCUGAGUGGCUAAGCGAAAGUGAUAAGUAUCCCACCUGGGGAGUACGUUCGCAAGAAUGAAACUCAAAGGAAUUGACGGGGGCCCGCACAAGCGGGGAUGAUGUGGUUUAAUUCGAUGCAACGCAAAACCUUACCCACCUUUGACAUGGAGGAGUUUCCA